This 352-nucleotide ribosomal RNA is filed under the name uncultured bacterium. Its description in RNAcentral is "partial 16S ribosomal RNA". It matches the Rfam family "Bacterial small subunit ribosomal RNA", at positions 355 to 717 of the family's 1533-position model. The record is from RNAcentral.
UGGGGAAUAUUGCACAAUGGGCGCAAGCCUGAUGCAGCGACGCCGCGUGAGGGAUGACGGCCUUCGGGUUGUAAACCUCUUUCAGUAGGGAAGAAGCGAAAAGUGACGGUACCUGCAGAAGAAGCACCGGCUAACUACGUGCCAGCAGCCGCGGUAAUACGUAGGGUGCGAGCGUUAUCCGGAAUUAUUGGGCGUAAAGAGCUCGUAGGCGGUUUGUCGCGUCUGUCGUGAAAAGUCCGGGGCUUAACCCCGGAUCUGCGGUGGGUACGGGCAGACUAGAGUGCAGUAGGGGAGACUGGAAUUCCUGGUGUAGCGGUGGAAUGCGCAGAUAUCAGGAGGAACACCGAUGGCG